This 77-nucleotide transfer RNA is filed under the name Oceanobacillus caeni. RNAcentral describes it as "tRNA-Met". It matches the Rfam family "tRNA". Rfam says of the family: Transfer RNA (tRNA) molecules are approximately 80 nucleotides in length. Their secondary structure includes four short double-helical elements and three loops (D, anti-codon, and T loops). The record is from RNAcentral. Lineage: Bacteria; Bacillati; Bacillota; Bacilli; Caryophanales; Bacillaceae.
CGCGGGGUGGAGCAGUCUGGUAGAUCGUCGGGCUCAUAACCCGAAGGUCGCAAGUUCAAAUCUUGUCCCCGCAACCA